UCGAAGCUCCUUCAUAUGUGGGCAAGAAAUGUGUCCUUCUUUUCCAUGACAACGGGUGGAUCCUUUGCCAGCCAACAUAUCCCGAGGUCCGUUGCGUGCCGGCAAAGAUUCAAGAACAUGGCAGUGUCAGCAGAGGAGUGAACGGCGGCUGAGGAGACACUUUUAAAUGAUUUUCUGGUACAGAGCAGAAUUCAUGGUUCUGUCAUUUGUGGCAAGUUGCCCAGGCCCUAAAGCAGGAAAGUAUCCUGACUCAUCACAUCACCACCACCAAAUAAUGAACACUGACCUUGUCUGAGGUGAGCAAGGCCUGCAGUUCCAUACAACCUGGGUUCUUUUGUGACUUCCUGGAUGAGUCGUCAUUGUGCUCUUGCAGGACAUUUGGUAGGCUGGCCAUUUCUAGGAAGACUCACCACUGUUCCAAGUUGUCUCCUCAGCUGAACCAAUAAACAAAUUAAAAG
Molecule: long non-coding RNA, 458 nt
Organism: Colossoma macropomum (tambaqui)
Lineage: Eukaryota; Metazoa; Chordata; Actinopteri; Characiformes; Serrasalmidae
Exons: 3
Source: RefSeq, a predicted model, not a curated record